AUCAUAGCAUCCAUCCUCUAGGUCUGUAAGGCCGAUAGCUGAAGGGCCAGUGUAUCGAUUCGCCGCUGCUGAGCAUCAAGUUGAAGCUGUCAGUCGUCUAGCUGCCCUUGUAGUCCCUCGUGGUCCCUCUGAUGAAAACCCCAAAAGGAGAAUUAGUUAGCACAUUUCAUGCAUACAUGCAUACAUUUUGCAUCUCAUAACU
RNAcentral lists this long non-coding RNA (202 nucleotides) under Ricinus communis (castor bean). Its description in RNAcentral is "long non-coding RNA (RCOM_LNC000565)". Lineage: Eukaryota; Viridiplantae; Streptophyta; Magnoliopsida; Malpighiales; Euphorbiaceae. The record is from RNAcentral.